Molecule: transfer RNA, 72 nt
Organism: Rhizoclosmatium globosum
Lineage: Eukaryota; Fungi; Chytridiomycota; Chytridiomycetes; Chytridiales; Chytriomycetaceae
Rfam family: tRNA
About the family: Transfer RNA (tRNA) molecules are approximately 80 nucleotides in length. Their secondary structure includes four short double-helical elements and three loops (D, anti-codon, and T loops). Further hydrogen bonds mediate the characteristic L-shaped molecular structure. tRNAs have two regions of fundamental functional importance: the anti-codon, which is responsible for specific mRNA codon recognition, and the 3' end, to which the tRNAs corresponding amino acid is attached (by aminoacyl-tRNA synthetases). tRNAs cope with the degeneracy of the genetic code in two manners: having more than one tRNA (with a specific anti-codon) for a particular amino acid; and 'wobble' base-pairing, i.e. permitting non-standard base-pairing at the 3rd anti-codon position.
Source: Rfam
UGUUGUAUAGUGUAGUGGUUAUCACCCGGGUUUCUGAUACCCGUAACCCCGGUUCGAAUCCGGGUACGACCU